Long non-coding RNA from Haliotis rubra (blacklip abalone), 123 nucleotides. RefSeq lists it as uncharacterized. Lineage: Eukaryota; Metazoa; Mollusca; Gastropoda; Lepetellida; Haliotidae. The transcript is spliced from 3 exons. The record is from RefSeq and is a predicted model, not a curated record.
CAUGUCACAACAAGGUGUUAGCAGUGUCUCUAGUGGGUGUAGGUGAUGUCACCAGCCAUGUCACAACAAGGUGUUAGCAGUGUCUCUAGUGGGUGUAGGUGAUGUCACCAGUCAUGUCACAAC